This 1009-nucleotide ribosomal RNA is filed under the name uncultured bacterium. RNAcentral describes it as "bacterial SSU rRNA". It matches the Rfam family "Bacterial small subunit ribosomal RNA", at positions 8 to 1022 of the family's 1533-position model. The record is from RNAcentral.
AGAGUUUGAUCAUGGCUCAGGGUUAACGCUGGCGGCGCGCAUAACACAUGCAAGUCGAGCGAGGGCUCAUUUCCCGCAAGGGAGAUGGGUUCCUAGCGGCGAACGGGUGAGUAACACGUGGGCAACCUUUCCUAUCGCGGGGGAUAACAGCGGGAAACCGCUGCUAAUACCGCAUGUCGUCAUCGGUCGCAUGGCCGGUGAAAAAAGCAGCAAUGCACGAUGGGGUGGGCCCGCGGCCUAUCAGCUAGUCGGUGGGGUAACGGCCUACCGAGGCGAUGACGGGUAGCUGGUCUGAGAGGACGACCAGCCACACGGGGACUGAGACACGGCCCCGACUCCUACGGGAGGCAGCAGUGAGGAAUCUUCCGCAAUGGGCGAAAGCCUGACGGAGCGACGCCGCGUGUGGGAUGAAGUCCUUCGGGAUGUAAACCACUGUUGGUGGGGAAGACAACUGACGGUACCCACCGAGAAAGCCCCGGCUAACUACGUGCCAGCAGCCGCGGUAAUACGUAGGGGGCUAGCGUUAUCCAGAAUUACUGGGCGUAAAGCGCGUGUAGGCGGCUGGUUAAGUGUGAUGUGAAAUCUUCGGGCUCAACCCGAAAACUGCAUUGCAAACUGGCCUGGCUAGAGUGCAGGAGAGGGAAGCGGAAUUCCAGGUGUAGCGGUGAAAUGCGUAGAUAUCUGGAGGAACACCAGUGGCGAAGGCGGCUUCCUGGCCUGUAACUGACGCUGAGACGCGAAAGCGUGGGGAGCGAACCGGAUUAGAUACCCGGGUAGUCCACGCCCUAAACGUUGCGAACUAGGUGUUGGUCGGAUUGACCCGAUCAGUGCCGCAGCUAACGCAUUAAGUUCGCCGCCUGGGGACUACGGCCGCAAGGUUAAAACUCAAAGGAAUAGGCGGGGGCCCGCACAAGCAGCGGAGCGUGUGGUUUAAUUCGAGGCAACGCGAAGAACCUUACCUGGGCUUGACAUGUAGAGGAAACGCUGGUGAAAGCCAGCGCCCCUCGCA